This 462-nucleotide ribosomal RNA is filed under the name Bacillus subtilis. RNAcentral's name for it is "bacterial SSU rRNA". It matches the Rfam family "Bacterial small subunit ribosomal RNA", at positions 13 to 465 of the family's 1533-position model. Lineage: Bacteria; Bacillati; Bacillota; Bacilli; Caryophanales; Bacillaceae. The record is from RNAcentral.
UUGAUCCUGGCUCAGGACGAACGCUGGCGGCGUGCCUAAUACAUGCAAGUCGAGCGGACAGAUGGGAGCUUGCUCCCUGAUGUUAGCGGCGGACGGGUGAGUAACACGUGGGUAACCUGCCUGUAAGACUGGGAUAACUCCGGGAAACCGGGGCUAAUACCGGAUGGUUGUUUGAACCGCAUGGUUCAAACAUAAAAGGUGGCUUCGGCUACCACUUACAGAUGGACCCGCGGCGCAUUAGCUAGUUGGUGAGGUAAYGGCUCACCAAGGCAACGAUGCGUAGCCGACCUGAGAGGGUGAUCGGCCACACUGGGACUGAGACACGGCCCAGACUCCUACGGGAGGCAGCAGUAGGGAAUCUUCCGCAAUGGACGAAAGUCUGACGGAGCAACGCCGCGUGAGUGAUGAAGGUUUUCGGAUCGUAAAGCUCUGUUGUUAGGGAAGAACAAUACCGUUCGAAUA